GACAAUAUGGCCGAGUGGUUAAGGCGUAUGACUAGAAAUCAUAUGGGCUCUGCCCGCGCAGGUUCAAAUCCUGCUGUUGUCG
Transfer RNA from Basidiobolus meristosporus CBS 931.73, 82 nucleotides. It matches the Rfam family "tRNA". Rfam says of the family: Transfer RNA (tRNA) molecules are approximately 80 nucleotides in length. Their secondary structure includes four short double-helical elements and three loops (D, anti-codon, and T loops). The record is from Rfam. NCBI's taxonomy places the organism in Eukaryota, Fungi, Basidiobolomycota, Basidiobolomycetes, Basidiobolales, Basidiobolaceae.